CAAUAGCGUAUAUUAAAGUUGUUGCAGUUAAAAAGCUCGUAGUUGGAUUUCGGGACGGGCCAGUUGGUCCGCCGCAAGGUGUGUUACUGACUGGUCUGUUCUUCUUCGCAAAGACUGCGUGUGCUCUUCGUUGAGUGUGCGUAGGAUUUACGACGUUUACUUUGAAAAAAUUAGAGUGUUCAAAGCAGGCUAUCGCCUGAAUACAUGAGCAUGGAAUAAUGGAAUAGGACUUUGGUCCUAUUUUGUUGGUUUCUAGGACCGAAGUAAUGAUUAAGAGGGACAAUUGGGGGCAUCCGUAUUUCGUUGUCAGAGGUGAAAUUCUUGGAUUUACGAAAGACGAACAACUGCGAAAGCACUUGCCAAGAGUGUUUUCAUUAA
RNAcentral lists this ribosomal RNA (378 nucleotides) under uncultured eukaryote. Its description in RNAcentral is "partial 18S ribosomal RNA". It matches the Rfam family "Eukaryotic small subunit ribosomal RNA", at positions 592 to 976 of the family's 1831-position model. The record is from RNAcentral.